CCUACGGGUGGCAGCAGUGGGGAAUAUUGGGCAAUGGGCGCAAGCCUGACCCAGCAACGCCGCGUGAAGGAAGAAGGCUUUCGGGUUGUAAACUUCUUUUGACAGGGAAGAGUAGAAGACGGUACCUGUCGAAUACGCCACGGCUAACUACGUGCGCGCAGCCGCUGUAAUACGUAGGUGGCAAGCGUUGUCCGGACUUACUGGGUGUAAAGGGCGUGUAGCCGGGUUGACAAGUCAGAUGUGAAAUCCUACGGCUUAACCGCAGAACUGCAUGUGAAACUGUUGAUCGUGAGUACUGGAGAGGCAGAGGGAAUUCCUAGUGUAGGGGUUAAAUGCGUAGAGAGUAUGAGGAACACCAGUGGCGAAGGCGGUCUGCUGGACAGCAACUGACGGUGAGGCGCGAAAGCGUGGGGAGCAAACAGGAUUAGAUACCCUUGUAGUC
This 442-nucleotide ribosomal RNA is filed under the name uncultured bacterium. RNAcentral describes it as "partial 16S ribosomal RNA". It matches the Rfam family "Bacterial small subunit ribosomal RNA", at positions 338 to 795 of the family's 1533-position model. The record is from RNAcentral.